This 367-nucleotide ribosomal RNA is filed under the name uncultured Streptococcus sp. Its description in RNAcentral is "bacterial SSU rRNA". It matches the Rfam family "Bacterial small subunit ribosomal RNA", at positions 11 to 368 of the family's 1533-position model. The record is from RNAcentral. Lineage: Bacteria; Bacillati; Bacillota; Bacilli; Lactobacillales; Streptococcaceae.
GUUUGAUCCUGGCUCAGGACGAACGCUGGCGGCGUGCCUAAUACAUGCAAGUAGAACGCUGAAGAGAGGAGCUUGCUCUUCUUGGAUGAGUUGCGAACGGGUGAGUAACGCGUAGGUAACCUGCCUGGUAGCGGGGGAUAACUAUUGGAAACGAUAGCUAAUACCGCAUAAAAUUGAUUAUUGCAUGAUAAUUAAUUGAAAGAUGCAACUGCAUCACUACCAGAUGGACCUGCGUUGUAUUAGCUAGUUGGUGAGGUAACGGCUCACCAAGGCGACGAUACAUAGCCGACCUGAGAGGGUGAUCGGCCACACUGGGACUGAGACACGGCCCAGACUCCUACGGGAGGCAGCAGAAGGGCGAAUUCGU